UCUCCGUUUCACAGAGCAGUCUGUCUCGAGUGCUUCCGACUCUCGUCGGAGUGGCAACAAGACACAGGGGUUGCGCUCGUUACCGGACUUAACCGAACACCUCACGGCACGAGCUGACGACAGCCAUGCAGCACCUGUGUACGCUGGUAUUGCUACCUCGUCUCCCUUUCAGGAUUCUACUACGCACAUGUCAAGGCCAGGUAAGGUUCUUCGCGUUGCAUCGAAUUAAGCCACAUGCUCCACCGCUUGUGCGGGCCCCCGUCAAUUUCUUUGAGUUUUAAUCUUGCGACCGUACUCCCCAGGCGGUGUAUUUAACGCGUUAGCUCCGAGACAAGAGGGGUCGAAUCCGCUUAUCUCAAAUACACACCGUUUACGGCCAGGACUA
This 385-nucleotide unclassified non-coding RNA is filed under the name uncultured Candidatus Methylacidiphilaceae bacterium. RNAcentral's name for it is "uncultured Methylacidiphilaceae bacterium contains 16S-23S intergenic spacer region". The record is from RNAcentral. Lineage: Bacteria; Pseudomonadati; Verrucomicrobiota; Methylacidiphilae; Methylacidiphilales; Methylacidiphilaceae.